RNAcentral lists this transfer-messenger RNA (113 nucleotides) under Gammaproteobacteria bacterium. RNAcentral's name for it is "partial transfer-messenger RNA". It matches the Rfam family "transfer-messenger RNA", at positions 1 to 118 of the family's 374-position model. From Rfam's summary of the family: Bacterial tmRNA, also known as 10Sa RNA or SsrA, is named for its dual tRNA and mRNA-like properties. The record is from RNAcentral. Lineage: Bacteria; Pseudomonadati; Pseudomonadota; Gammaproteobacteria.
GGGGCUGAUCUAGGAUUCGACAGGAUUGAUGACACCGGAGGAGCACGUCGAGGGGCGGUUGGCCUCGUAAAAAGCCGCAAAAAAAUAGUCGCAAACGACGAAAACUACGCACU